GAUGAACGCUAGCGGCAGGCUUAAUACAUGCAAGUCGAGGGGCAGCAGGGGUGUAGCAAUACACUCGCUGGCGACCGGCAAACGGGUGCGGAACACGUACGCAACCUACCCAAAACUGGGGAAUAGCCCGGGGAAACCCGGAUUAAUACCUCGUAACAUAAUGAAGUGGCAUCACUUUAUUAUUAUAGCUCCGGCGGUUUUGGAUGGGCGUGCGCCUGAUUAGGUAGUUGGCGGGGUAACGGCCCACCAAGCCUACGAUCAGUAACUGGUGUGAGAGCACGACCAGUCACACGGGCACUGAGACACGGGCCCGACUCCUACGGGAGGCAGCAGUAAGGAAUAUUGGUCAAUGGACGCAAGUCUGAACCAGCCAUGCCGCGUGAA
RNAcentral lists this ribosomal RNA (384 nucleotides) under uncultured bacterium. RNAcentral's name for it is "bacterial SSU rRNA". It matches the Rfam family "Bacterial small subunit ribosomal RNA", at positions 28 to 405 of the family's 1533-position model. The record is from RNAcentral.